Pelobates cultripes (western spadefoot toad) is the source of this 235-nucleotide non-coding RNA. NCBI's taxonomy places the organism in Eukaryota, Metazoa, Chordata, Amphibia, Anura, Pelobatidae. The record is from the annotation of a GenBank genome assembly.
CACACAGCCUUCACUGAUUUGACACACACAUUCACUGACACACACUCAUUCAUUGACAGAGAGACACACACUAAUAGUCACACACACACACUAAAUGACAGACUCUCACUUAUUUGACAGAAACUUACAAUAACGUAUGCACAUACAUGCAAUUGCAAACAUACACAUGCAUACACUAACAGAAGCACAUACACUCACAUACACACGUACAAACGCUAACAGACAUAAAUACACU